Molecule: ribosomal RNA, 253 nt
Filed under: uncultured bacterium
Lineage: Bacteria
Description: partial 16S ribosomal RNA
Rfam family: Bacterial small subunit ribosomal RNA
Source: RNAcentral
UACGAAGGGGGCUAGCGUUGCUCGGAAUCACUGGGCGUAAAGCGCACGUAGGCGGCUUGUUAAGUCAGGGGUGAAAUCCUGGAGCUCAACUCCAGAACUGCCUUUGAUACUGGCGAUCUCGAGUCCGGGAGAGGUGAGUGGAACUGCGAGUGUAGAGGUGAAAUUCGUAGAUAUUCGCAAGAACACCAGUGGCGAAGGCGGCUCACUGGCCCGUAACUGACGCUGAGGCACGAAAGCGUGGGGAGCAAACAGG